AUGUUCUCUGUAGCUCUGCUGCUGCUGUUGGCAGCUGGAUGUGUUAAGUGUGAAACGCUGACUCAGCCAGCCUCUGUGACUAUGCAGCCAGGUCAACGUCUGACCAUCACCUGUCAGGUCUCUUAUCCUGUUAGCAGCUACACUACAGCUUGGAUCAGACAGCCUGCAGGGAAAGGACUGGAGUGGAUUAUCAGAGGAGGUGUUGGAUACAGCACAUACAUCAAAGAUUCCCUAAAGAACAAGUUCAGUAUCAGUUAUGAUUCUUCCAGCAAAACAGUGACUCUAAACGGACAGAAUGUGCAGCCUGAAGACACUGCUGUGUAUUACUGUGAUCUCCAGGCCCUCUCAAGAUGUUGGGUAUGGGCACUGGACUUUCUCUCUUUCCCCUUCGUCUUCCUCCUUUUCUUUUUCUUGUCCUCUGAUGAGGAUGCAGUAGAGGAGGAUGCAGACACAGUAUCGGAGGAAUCUUCCUCUGAGCUGUCACAAGAGGAAGAUGAAGACAAGGAGAUUGCCUGGCUGUGCAGUAGGGGCCAUGGACACACCUAA
This is a non-coding RNA of Centropristis striata (black sea bass), 546 nucleotides long. The record is from the annotation of a RefSeq genome assembly. NCBI's taxonomy places the organism in Eukaryota, Metazoa, Chordata, Actinopteri, Perciformes, Serranidae.